This 468-nucleotide ribosomal RNA is filed under the name uncultured bacterium. Its description in RNAcentral is "partial 16S ribosomal RNA". It matches the Rfam family "Bacterial small subunit ribosomal RNA", at positions 28 to 507 of the family's 1533-position model. The record is from RNAcentral.
GACGAACGCUGGCGGCGUGCUUAACACAUGCAAGUCGAACGGAAAGGCCCUGCUUUUGUGGGGUGCUCGAGUGGCGAACGGGUGAGUAACACGUGAGUAACCUGCCCUUGACUUUGGGAUAACUUCAGGAAACUGGGGCUAAUACCGGAUCGGAUCUCCUGCUGCAUGGUGGGGGUUGGAAAGUUUCGGCGGUUGGGGAUGGACUCGCGGCUUAUCAGCUUGUUGGUGGGGUAGUGGCUUACCAAGGCUUUGACGGGUAGCCGGCCUGAGAGGGUGACCGGCCACAUUGGGACUGAGAUACGGCCCAGACUCCUACGGGAGGCAGCAGUGGGGAAUAUUGCACAAUGGGCGGAAGCCUGAUGCAGCAACGCCGCGGGCGGGAUGACGGCCUUCGGGGUGUAAACCGCUUUCGCCUGUGACGAAGCGUGAGUGACGGUAAUGAGUAAAGAAGCACCGGCUAACUACGUG